GCCUAACACAUGCAAGUCGAGCGGAAACGACACUAACAAUCCUUCGGGUGCGUUAAUGGGCGUCGAGCGGCGGACGGGUGAGUAAUGCCUAGGAAAUUGCCUUGAUGUGGGGGAUAACCAUUGGAAACGAUGGCUAAUACCGCAUAAUGCCUACGGGCCAAAGAGGGGGACCUUCGGGCCUCUCGCGUCAAGAUAUGCCUAGGUGGGAUUAGCUAGUUGGUGAGGUAAUGGCUCACCAAGGCGACGAUCCCUAGCUGGUCUGAGAGGAUGAUCAGCCACACUGGAACUGAGACACGGUCCAGACUCCUACGGGAGGCAGCAGUGGGGAAUAUUGCACAAUGGGCGAAAGCCUGAUGCAGCCAUGCCGCGUGUAUGAAGAAGGCCUUCGGGUUGUAAAGUACUUUCAGUUGUGAGGAA
RNAcentral lists this ribosomal RNA (417 nucleotides) under uncultured Vibrio sp. Its description in RNAcentral is "bacterial SSU rRNA". It matches the Rfam family "Bacterial small subunit ribosomal RNA", at positions 46 to 449 of the family's 1533-position model. Lineage: Bacteria; Pseudomonadati; Pseudomonadota; Gammaproteobacteria; Vibrionales; Vibrionaceae. The record is from RNAcentral.